CUGCAGCCCGAGUAGUGAUCGUUAUUAUUGGGCCUAAAACGUCCGUAGCCUGUUUGGUAAAUGCUUGGGUAAAUCGUGUGGCUUAACCAUACGAAUACCGGGUAGACUGCCAGACUUGAGACCGGGAGAGGUUGGAGGUACUCCUGGGGUAGGGGUGAAAUUCUGUAAUCCUGGGGGGACCACCAGUGGCGAAGGCGUCCAACCAGAACGGGUCUGACGGUGAAGGACGAAGCCCUGGGGCGCAAACCGGAUUAGAUACCCGAGUAGUCC
This 270-nucleotide ribosomal RNA is filed under the name uncultured archaeon. Its description in RNAcentral is "partial 16S ribosomal RNA". It matches the Rfam family "Archaeal small subunit ribosomal RNA", at positions 477 to 747 of the family's 1478-position model. The record is from RNAcentral.